This is a long non-coding RNA of Neopelma chrysocephalum (saffron-crested tyrant-manakin), 620 nucleotides long. RefSeq lists it as uncharacterized. NCBI's taxonomy places the organism in Eukaryota, Metazoa, Chordata, Aves, Passeriformes, Pipridae. The record is from RefSeq and is a predicted model, not a curated record. The transcript has 4 exons.
GCAAAAUGCUAAAAAGAAAAUGUGCAUUCAUCCUAACUGGGGAUGGCUCUUACCUCGGAGUGGCCAGAGCUCCUUACCGAAGGGAAAUGCCGUCUUCAUUUGACCAGCAUUAAUUAAUGACAGGAUUUCCCAGCCAGUCCACACUUGGACUUGAAGUCCCAUUAUACAGGUGUUUCUAGCACUCCAGGAAAACUGUGUAUUGUUCCUCCUCAAAGCCUCCUCGUGCCAUUUUUUGUUGAGGCAGAGAAAUGCUUCAGAGCCAUGUCAGUGCUUUUCAGCAUGCAGCCACAUGGACAAGCCAGCUCCAGGAGCUACAGGUUCCCAGAAAGCCACCUCCCAUCCCCCAGCAAAGCAGAAGCUGAAGGCUCUUCUCACCCACUGCAGCCCCUCACCUUACCUCGCUUCUUUCAGAUAGCAGGCAGAAAGCCUGGCUUUAAAAGAGUUCAGACAGGAAGCAGCAAUGUUCCAGGAGGAUUUCUGAGUCCAUCAGGAGAGCAACUGGCUCCUCAAAGUGUGGAUUUCAGAGAUCCCUAAAAUAUUUGGCUACACUGUUGGAACAGUCAGGACUGAGGAACCAGCACUCCAGAGGACCUGCAGCUCCCCAGCACUCACACCUUCAG